Molecule: antisense RNA, 445 nt
Filed under: Habropoda laboriosa
Lineage: Eukaryota; Metazoa; Arthropoda; Insecta; Hymenoptera; Apidae
Description: Saccharopolyspora sRNA 350
Rfam family: Saccharopolyspora sRNA 350
Source: Rfam by way of RNAcentral
UCGAAGUCGUCGUCGAAGCCGUCGAAGUCGUAGUCGAAGUCGUCGAUGUCGUCGAAGUCGACGAAGUCGUCGAAGUCGUCGAAGUCGUCGAAGUCGCCCAAGUCGUCGAAGUCGUCGAAGUCGUCGAAGUCGUCGACGUCGUCGUCGAAGUCGUCGAAGUCGUCGACGUCGUCGUCGAAGUCGUCGAAGUCGUCGACGUCGUCGUCGAAGUCGUCGAAGUCGUCGACGUCGUCGUCGAAGUCGUCGAAGUCGUCGACGUCGUCGUCGAAGUCGUCGAAGUCGUCGACGUCGUCGUCGAAGUCGUCGAAGUCGUCGACGUCGUCGUCGAAGUCGUCGAAGUCGUCGACGUCGUCGUCGAAGUCGUCGAAGUCGUCGACGUCGUCGUCGAAGUCGUCGAAGUCGUCGACGUCGUCGUCGAAGUCGUCGAAGUCGUCGACGUCGUCGU